GCCGGGCGUGGUGGCGCACACCUGUAAUCCCAGCUACUCAGGGGGCUGAGGCAGGAGAAUUGCUUGAACCCAGGAGACGGAGGUUGCGGUGAGCCGAAAUCAGGCCACUGCACCCCAGCCUGGGCAACAGAGUAAGACCCUGUCUCAA
Pan troglodytes (chimpanzee) is the source of this 148-nucleotide non-coding RNA. It matches the Rfam family "Metazoan signal recognition particle RNA". From Rfam's summary of the family: The signal recognition particle (SRP) is a universally conserved ribonucleoprotein. The record is from Rfam. Lineage: Eukaryota; Metazoa; Chordata; Mammalia; Primates; Hominidae.